This 372-nucleotide ribosomal RNA is filed under the name uncultured organism. RNAcentral's name for it is "partial 16S ribosomal RNA". It matches the Rfam family "Bacterial small subunit ribosomal RNA", at positions 527 to 896 of the family's 1533-position model. The record is from RNAcentral.
GAAGGUGGCGAGCGUUGUUCGGAAUUAUUGGGCUUAAAGAGCACGUAGGCGGAACAGAAAGUGUCUUGUGAAAACCCCCGGCUUAACCGGGGAAUUGCUUGGCAAACUUCUGUUCUUGAGUCAAGUAGGGGUACAUGGAACUCUUAGUGGAGCGGUGGAAUGCGUAGAUAUUAAGAGGAACGCCAAUGGUGAAGACAGUGUACUGGGCUUGUACUGACGCUGAGGUGCGAAAGCGUGGGGAGCGAACGGGAUUAGAUACCCCGGGUAGUCCACGCUGUAAACGAUGUCUACUAGGUUGUGGGUGUUCUGACACAGUCACAGCCGAAGCAAAAGUGUUAAGUAGACCGCCUGGGGAGUACGGUCGCAAGGCUA